Eubalaena glacialis (North Atlantic right whale) is the source of this 341-nucleotide long non-coding RNA. RefSeq lists it as uncharacterized. NCBI's taxonomy places the organism in Eukaryota, Metazoa, Chordata, Mammalia, Artiodactyla, Balaenidae. The transcript is spliced from 4 exons. The record is from RefSeq and is a predicted model, not a curated record.
GAAAGGCAAUUGGUCAAAGUUUUUCGUUGUCGUCGUCGUUUGGAAGAAAUGUAAUAUUCGUCACUCCCUAUGCUCCAUGUUUAUUUUCUACUGCCAUACCAGUUUUGUUUGUAGUAGCAAUUCUGGAUCACCGAGGACUUGAACAGUGGAAGGAAUGUACUGUCACAAGAGAAGAGUGGUGGUCUGUAUGAUGUCUAGAGAAAAGACGGCCAAGGAACACAGAUGGCAAUACAUGGGCCAGUGUAUCUCUACUUUUAUUGAGAUGGAAAAACAGGACUGGAACACAAAUUCUGGGAUUCAAGAGCCUGCACUCUCCACUACACAAAACUUAUUUUAAGUAA